This 294-nucleotide ribosomal RNA is filed under the name uncultured bacterium. RNAcentral's name for it is "partial 16S rRNA". It matches the Rfam family "Bacterial small subunit ribosomal RNA", at positions 355 to 668 of the family's 1533-position model. The record is from RNAcentral.
UGGGGAAUAUUGCGCAAUGGGGGAAACCCUGACGCAGCAACGCCGCGUGGGCGACGAAGGUCUUCGGAUUGUAAAGCCCUGUCUUCUGGGACGAUAAUGACGGUACCAGAGGAGGAAGCCACGGCUAACUACGUGCCAGCAGCCGCGGUAAUACGUAGGUGGCAAGCGUUGUCCGGAAUUACUGGGCGUAAAGGGUGCGUAGGCGGAUAUUUAAGUGGGAUGUGAAAUACCUGAGCUCAACUCGGGUGCUGCAUUCCAAACUGGAUAUCUAGAGUGCAGGAGAGGAGAAGAAUC